UACGGAGGGUGCAAGCGUUGUCCGGAAUCACUGGGCGUAAAGGGCGCGUAGGCGGCUCAUGAAGGCUGUGGUGAAAGUCCGGGGCUCAACCUCGGAUCGGCCGUGGCGACUCGUGGGCUGGAGCACUGUAGAGGCGGGUGGAAUUCCGGGUGUAGCGGUGGAAUGCGUAGAGAUCCGGAGGAACACCAGUGGCGAAGGCGACACGCUGGGCCGUACCUGACACUGAUACGCGACAGCAUGGGGAGCGAACAGG
Molecule: ribosomal RNA, 253 nt
Filed under: uncultured bacterium
Lineage: Bacteria
Description: partial 16S ribosomal RNA
Rfam family: Bacterial small subunit ribosomal RNA
Source: RNAcentral